GUGAAGAACGUAGCGAAAUGCGAUAAGUAAUGUGAAUUGCAGAAUUCAGUGAAUCAUCGAAUCUUUGAACGCACCUUGCACCCUUUGGCAUUCCGAAGGGUAUGCUCGUUUGAGUGUCAUUGUACUCUCACACUCCCGAUCUUUGGAUUGGGAGCGGUGGACUUGGGUUUGCUGCUUGCCGUGGCUCACCUCAAAUGGAUUAGUGCAACUCUUGGUUGACCAUAGUACGGCGUGAUAAGUGUCUUCGCUGGCACCUCACUGGGUGGGCCGAUCGGGAGCUCUGUGCUUCAAACCGUCUUCGGACAACAACUGACAACUUGACCUCAAAUCGAGUAGGACCACCCGCUGAACUUAAGCAUAUCAAUAAGCGGAGGA
This 375-nucleotide unclassified non-coding RNA is filed under the name soil metagenome. RNAcentral's name for it is "partial contains 5.8S ribosomal RNA, internal transcribed spacer 2, and large subunit ribosomal RNA". The stretch from base 2 to 119 matches the Rfam family "5.8S ribosomal RNA", at positions 37 to 154 of the family's 154-position model. The record is from RNAcentral.